AUUGAACGCUGGCGGCAGGCCUAACACAUGCAAGUCGAGCGGAUGAAGGGAGCUUGCUCCUGGAUUCAGCGGCGGACGGGUGAGUAAUGCCUAGGAAUCUGCCUGGUAGUGGGGGAUAACGUCCGGAAACGGGCGCUAAUACCGCAUACGUCCUGAGGGAGAAAGUGGGGGAUCUUCGGACCUCACGCUAUCAGAUGAGCCUAGGUCGGAUUAGCUAGUUGGUGGGGUAAAGGCCUACCAAGGCGACGAUCCGUAACUGGUCUGAGAGGAUGAUCAGUCACCCUGGAACUGAGACACGGUCCCGACUCCUACGGGAAGCCGUAGUGGGGAAUAUUGGACAAUGGGCGAAAGCCUGAUCCAGCCAUGCCGCGUGUGUGAAGAAGGUCUUCGGAUUGUAAAGCACUUUAAGUUGGGAGGAAGGGCAGUAAGUUAAUACCUUGCUGUUUUGACGUUACCAACAGAAUAAGCACCGGCUAACUUCGUG
This 484-nucleotide ribosomal RNA is filed under the name uncultured bacterium. RNAcentral describes it as "partial 16S ribosomal RNA". It matches the Rfam family "Bacterial small subunit ribosomal RNA", at positions 30 to 507 of the family's 1533-position model. The record is from RNAcentral.